Long non-coding RNA from Saccostrea echinata, 190 nucleotides. RefSeq lists it as uncharacterized. NCBI's taxonomy places the organism in Eukaryota, Metazoa, Mollusca, Bivalvia, Ostreida, Ostreidae. The transcript is spliced from 3 exons. The record is from RefSeq and is a predicted model, not a curated record.
GUGGCUUGUUUCUCAGCAAAACAAAAAUGGAACGUUCAGAGAACCAGGCAGAGUUAUACGUAAUAGAAUGCAGGGCGGUUCAGCAGCAGGCGAGAGGACUCUCACGGCGUUUUCUAUUAUCGCUCUCAAAGAAGCUGAGAACAUGCAGGGAAGCAAAAGUCAAGAAAAGUCUCUAUUUGAUGAAAGAAGA